GGCAGUUCUUGGGUGAUGCAGCUGGACUCAGGCUCCCUCCUCUCUGGUUCCGGGUGCGUCACCCAAGAACCGCC
Myotis lucifugus (little brown bat) is the source of this 74-nucleotide non-coding RNA. The record is from Rfam. Lineage: Eukaryota; Metazoa; Chordata; Mammalia; Chiroptera; Vespertilionidae.